CAAUAGCGUAUAUUAAAGUUGUUGCAGUUAAAAAGCUCGUAGUUGGAUUUCUGGUUGAGAGUUGAUGUCCUCUUGCUGAGUGCGCAGAGAUUCUCUACCAACCUUCUGUUAACUCUUCAUGACAUUCACUUGUCGGUUGAGGGCUCAGAUAUUUUACCUUGAGAAAAUUAGAGUGUUUCAGGCAGGCUCGCGCCGGAAUACAUUAGCAUGGAAUAAUGGAAUAGGACUUUAGCCUCUUCUGUUGGUCUGAGGGGUUGAAGUAAUGAUUAAUAGGGAUAGUUGGGGGCAUUAGUACUUAACUGUCAGAGGUGAAAUUCUCGGAUUUGUUAAAGACCAACUUAUGCGAAAGCAUUUGCCAAGGAUGUUUUCAUUAA
RNAcentral lists this ribosomal RNA (374 nucleotides) under uncultured eukaryote. Its description in RNAcentral is "partial 18S ribosomal RNA". It matches the Rfam family "Eukaryotic small subunit ribosomal RNA", at positions 592 to 976 of the family's 1831-position model. The record is from RNAcentral.